GUAGGGAAUAUUGGGCAAUGGAUGCAAGUCUGACCCAGCCAUCCCGCGUGCCGGAAGAAGGCCCUCAGGGUUGUAAACGGCUUUUGACGGUGAAGAAUCGACAGGAUGCGUCCUGUUUUGACGGUAGCCGUUGAAUAAGCACCGGCUAACUCCGUGCCAGCAGCCGCGGUAAUACGGAGGGUGCGAGCGUUGUCCGGAUUUUUUGGGUUUAAAGGGUGCGUAGGCUGGAAGGUCAGUCAGCGGUGAAAAGCUGUCGCUUAACGAUAGUCUUGCCGCAGAUACUUCCUUUCUUGGAUGAGGAGGAGGCCACUGGAACGGAUGGUGUAGCGGUGAAAUGCAUAGAUAUCAUCCAGAACACCGAUUGCGAAGGCAGGUGGCUGUACCUUAAUCGACGCUGAUGCACGAAAGCAUGGGGAGCAAACAGGAUUAGAAACCCCUGUAGUCC
RNAcentral lists this ribosomal RNA (445 nucleotides) under uncultured bacterium. RNAcentral's name for it is "partial 16S ribosomal RNA". It matches the Rfam family "Bacterial small subunit ribosomal RNA", at positions 354 to 796 of the family's 1533-position model. The record is from RNAcentral.